CUUUGACCUCAAAUCAGGUA
This 20-nucleotide ribosomal RNA is filed under the name Pseudolaccaria pachyphylla. RNAcentral's name for it is "partial 25S large subunit ribosomal RNA". The record is from RNAcentral. Lineage: Eukaryota; Fungi; Basidiomycota; Agaricomycetes; Agaricales; Callistosporiaceae.